GACAGAGGGGGCAAGCGUUGCUCGGAAUUACUGGGCGUAAAGGGCGCGUAGGCGGGAUGGUAAGUCGGUCGUGAAAUCCCUCGGCUCAACCGAGGAACGUCGAUCGAUACUGCCGUUCUUGAGGAUUGCAGAGGAGACUGGAAUUCCCGGUGUAGCGGUGAAAUGUGUAGAGAUCGGGAGGAACACCAGUGGCGAAGGCGACUUCCUGGCCUGUUCUUGACGCUGAGGCGCGAAAGCUAGGGGAGCAAACGGG
Molecule: ribosomal RNA, 253 nt
Filed under: uncultured bacterium
Lineage: Bacteria
Description: partial 16S ribosomal RNA
Rfam family: Bacterial small subunit ribosomal RNA
Source: RNAcentral